ACCUCAUCCAGAGCGACCGAGAGACGUGGCUCCCUGACGUCGCGGCAACCCUGCGGACCCCCGGGUCCGAGCACGGGUGCCAACGCCACGAUCGAUGCGAA
Non-coding RNA from Kytococcus sedentarius DSM 20547, 101 nucleotides. The record is from Rfam. Lineage: Bacteria; Bacillati; Actinomycetota; Actinomycetes; Micrococcales; Kytococcaceae.